This 489-nucleotide ribosomal RNA is filed under the name Acinetobacter junii. RNAcentral's name for it is "bacterial SSU rRNA". It matches the Rfam family "Bacterial small subunit ribosomal RNA", at positions 36 to 520 of the family's 1533-position model. Lineage: Bacteria; Pseudomonadati; Pseudomonadota; Gammaproteobacteria; Moraxellales; Moraxellaceae. The record is from RNAcentral.
CUGGCGGCAGGCUUACACAUGCAGUCGAGCGGAGAUGAGGUGCUUGCACCUUAUCUUAGCGGCGGACGGGUGAGUAAUGCUUAGGAAUCUGCCUAUUAGUGGGGGACAACAUUCCGAAAGGAAUGCUAAUACCGCAUACGUCCUACGGGAGAAAGCAGGGGAUCUUCGGACCUUGCGCUAAUAGAUGAGCCUAAGUCGGAUUAGCUAGUUGGUGGGGUAAAGGCCUACCAAGGCGACGAUCUGUAGCGGGUCUGAGAGGAUGAUCCGCCACACUGGGACUGAGACACGGCCCAGACUCCUACGGGAGGCAGCAGUGGGGAAUAUUGGACAAUGGGGGGAACCCUGAUCCAGCCAUGCCGCGUGUGUGAAGAAGGCCUUAUGGUUGUAAAGCACUUUAAGCGAGGAGGAGGCUACUGAGACUAAUACUCUUUGGAUAGUGGACGUUACUCGCAGAAUAAGCACCGGCUAACUCUGUGCCAGCAGCCGCGG